RNAcentral lists this unclassified non-coding RNA (309 nucleotides) under plant metagenome. RNAcentral's name for it is "partial contains 5.8S ribosomal RNA, internal transcribed spacer 2, and large subunit ribosomal RNA". The stretch from base 1 to 105 matches the Rfam family "5.8S ribosomal RNA", at positions 50 to 154 of the family's 154-position model. The record is from RNAcentral.
GAAAUGCGAUAAGUAGUGUGAAUUGCAGAAUUCAGUGAAUCAUCGAAUCUUUGAACGCACAUUGCGCCCCUUGGUAUUCCAUGGGGCAUGCCUGUUCGAGCGUCAUUUGUACCCUCAAGCUCUGCUAGGUGUUGGGUGUUUGUCCCGUCUCCGCGCGUGGACUCGCCCCAAAGUGAUUGGCAGCCGGCGUACUGGUCCCGGAGCGCAGCACAUGUCGCGCAAACGAGUGCCUUGGUACGGCGGCGUCCAUAAGCCCCUCUCUCACGCUCUUGACCUCGGAUCAGGUAGGGAUACCCGCUGAACUUAAGC